GAUGAACGCUGGCGGCGUGCCUAAUACAUGCAAGUCGAGCGAACGGACGAGAAGCUUGCUUCUCUGAUGUUAGCGGCGGACGGGUGAGUAACACGUGGAUAACCUACCUAUAAGACUGGGAUAACUUCGGGAAACCGUAGCUAAUACCGGAUAAUAUUUUGAACCGCAUGGUUCAAAAGUGAAAGACGGUCUUGCUGUCACUUAUAGAUGGAUCCGCGCUGCAUUAGCUAGUUGGUAAGGUAACGGCUUACCAAGGCAACGAUGCAUAGCCGACCUGAGAGGGUGAUCGGCGACACUGGAACUGAGACACGGUCCAGACUCCUACGGGAGGCAGCAGUAGGGAAUCUUCCGCAAUGGGCGAAAGCCUGACGGAGCAACGCCGCGUGAGUGAUGAAGGUCUUCGGAUCGUAAAACUCUGUUAUUAGGGAAGAACAUAUGUGUAAGUAACUGUGCACAUCUUGACGGUACCUAAUCAGAAAGCCACGGCUAACUACGUG
Molecule: ribosomal RNA, 497 nt
Filed under: uncultured bacterium
Lineage: Bacteria
Description: partial 16S ribosomal RNA
Rfam family: Bacterial small subunit ribosomal RNA
Source: RNAcentral